Molecule: ribosomal RNA, 411 nt
Filed under: Curtobacterium sp. R10.23
Lineage: Bacteria; Bacillati; Actinomycetota; Actinomycetes; Micrococcales; Microbacteriaceae
Description: bacterial SSU rRNA
Rfam family: Bacterial small subunit ribosomal RNA
Source: RNAcentral
GGGUGGAUUAGUGGCGAACGGGUGAGUAACACGUGAGUAACCUGCCCCUGACUCUGGGAUAAGCGUUGGAAACGACGUCUAAUACUGGAUAUGAUCACUGGCCGCAUGGUCUGGUGGUGGAAAGAUUUUUUGGUUGGGGAUGGACUCGCGGCCUAUCAGCUUGUUGGUGAGGUAAUGGCUCACCAAGGCGACGACGGGUAGCCGGCCUGAGAGGGUGACCGGCCACACUGGGACUGAGACACGGCCCAGACUCCUACGGGAGGCAGCAGUGGGGAAUAUUGCACAAUGGGCGAAAGCCUGAUGCAGCAACGCCGCGUGAGGGAUGACGGCCUUCGGGUUGUAAACCUCUUUUAGUAGGGAAGAAGCGAAAGUGACGGUACCUGCAGAAAAAGCACCGGCUAACUACGUGCC